ACCAGAUUGCAAAAGGGGUUCAUGACACACCAAUCUGGAAAUUAUUUGGAUUUCAUGAGAAUUAUAGGUCUAUAGAAUUCUAUAGAAUAUGAAAGCUAUUACCUCACAAUAAUCCCAGGAGGUAGAUUGGAAUGGCAUUAAUAUAACCCUUUUUACAGAUAAGAAAACUGAAGUUUGUAGAGGUUUUGACUUUCCCAAGUUUCACAGUCUAUAAAUAGCAGAACCAAGAUUAGAAACUAAGUAUACUGAUGUCAACUACCAAAAAAUAUAUAUCUUUCUACCAUAUCACUGACAUCCAUGUUUAGAAAACUAUCCACUCGAAAAGCAAUCAUAAAAAGAUGGAAGAAAAGUAGGGACAAUCUAAUUAAGUCCUUUUCGUGGAGGUAUGACUACACCUAUACAAUGCCUGGCUGAUUGCCAAACAUCCACAUUUUAUAGCAAAUGAGCAAUGUACUUAUCUCCUCUGCUUAUAUCAACUCAUGCUUUGAAUCCUGUCAGGACAUUCGUAUAUUCCUCUGACUUAAGUUCCUCAUUCUACAGCACCAACCUAUUUACUCACAUGAAAUAAAUCUACAAAUAUUUAUUGCUGGCCUCUUCUUUUUUUUUCUUAUAAGGGCACAGACCACUAGACAAGAAGGAAUAUGUCAAAGUGCCAGACUUUUUCACAUAAAGUUUCUUUAGAAAAGCACCCUGGACUACUGGAUAUAGUGGUGGACCUUAGAAUCCAGAAGAAUUGGUUGGAACUCUACUUUGGACUCUACCUACAUAAUCAAAGGGAAAGAAACUCAAAAGGCAGCCAGCAGAUAUCCAAAACUUCUCCAUCAGAUGCUGUAUUUCAUGUCAACUUUACCUACAAAAUCUGUGGAAAGGUUCCUGAAAGAGCUCCCCCUGACAUACCUUGGAUGCUGCUCUUGAUGCCAUCAAGAGAAAAGCUGGAAUGUGAGUCUUCCUCCCAUCUCCCUUCACCCCAGCCAGAAGUACAUCUGAGAGGCGGUAAAAUACAUCAGAAAAGGAAGAAAGAGGAUAUGAUGAAGCACGAUGAUCUUGUCUUGAAGGAUGACUCCACUAUCUUAGAGAUGACUAACUGCAGAGAAAUGCAUUUUCCCAUAGGAAGAUAGCCCCCUGAUUUUUAUCAAGUUAUGUGACUCCAGGAUUUCACAUUUCUGAGGGAUGCCAGUUUGCUACUGACUGACUGUGUAGUAUCAAUGAGGUUGAAAAACCCAAUACUUAACCUGAGAAAUUAAAGCUGCUAGCAGUUUAACUAGUGUAUCUUAGUGCACUAAUAAAUAUCUUUUCCUUUCUGUUUGGUUACUCA
RNAcentral lists this long non-coding RNA (1315 nucleotides) under Monodelphis domestica (gray short-tailed opossum). Its description in RNAcentral is "lncRNA (ENSMODG00000044294.1)". Lineage: Eukaryota; Metazoa; Chordata; Mammalia; Didelphimorphia; Didelphidae. The record is from RNAcentral.